This 278-nucleotide long non-coding RNA is filed under the name Ictidomys tridecemlineatus (thirteen-lined ground squirrel). RNAcentral describes it as "lncRNA (ENSSTOG00000034014.1)". Lineage: Eukaryota; Metazoa; Chordata; Mammalia; Rodentia; Sciuridae. The record is from RNAcentral.
CUGGAGGCCGUCCAUCCCGGGUGCUGGGGGAACUGUCCAAUCAGUGCGCAGAGGAAGAGGAAGGGCGGGCUUCCGCAACCUCUGGCUUUUCUUCCCCAGCGACUCGGCUUCUCAUCCUUCAAGCCAAGAGUUCUCUGCUCCAGGGACUCAGGUGACUCUGCUGCCUGUGACCCCCCACACCCCCAUCUCGGGUGCCCGGAGGUUCCUCCAGAGGACCCCGGGUCACCACAGAAGACAAAAAUGAGCAAUUUUAGACUUAUAGUUUGUUAGUCAAUGUU